UACGUAGGUGGCAAGCGUUGUUCGGAAUUAUUGGGCGUAAAGAGCGCGUAGGCGGUUCGGUAAGUCUGGUGUGAAAUCCCUGGGCUCAACUCAGGAAGUGCAUUGGAUACUGUCGGACUGGAGUGCAGGAGGGGAGAGUGGAAUUCCUGGUGUAGAGGUGAAGUUCGUAGAUAUCAGGAGGAACAACAGAGGCGAAGGCGACUCUCUGGACUGUCACUGACGCUGAGGCGCGAAAGCGUGGGGAGCAAACAGG
This 253-nucleotide ribosomal RNA is filed under the name uncultured bacterium. Its description in RNAcentral is "partial 16S ribosomal RNA". It matches the Rfam family "Bacterial small subunit ribosomal RNA", at positions 524 to 776 of the family's 1533-position model. The record is from RNAcentral.